AGCAAAAAAAUAAAGCUAGCUUUAAUAUAAAACUUUAACUAGUAUACAACCUGUAGUAGUUAAAACAAUAUAAAAUUUUACUUAACCAGAUAUUGCACGUUAAACUCUAGGAACAUUAACAUGGAAACAUUCUCCGCAUCUAACACGUUCCGAGAUAAAGUACAGAUCCGUCAAGAAAGGGAACUAACAUUCUGACCUCCUUCCAAAAUGACAAACUAGAACGGCAAAAUUACACUCAGGCACACUGGAGUACUCUUCCCUCAAAUCCCUCCACAGAGCACUUCAUCAUUUGCUCCGCCCUCUAAUAACUCAUGCAAGAAAAGUUCAGCACCAUCAGAGAGAAACAAGACACAAUUCAGAGAACGGCUUUAGGGCCUUUCCUCCAGGCGCUGCCGUGUCAUGAGAACACUGAAGCAGCUCAGGAACUGAGGCCUCCUGCCCACAGCCAGCGCUGACUUUCCAGCCCCGUUCAAACAUUCAGAUCCUGCAGCCCCAGCUGACACCUUCGCUAGAACCUGAGGAGAGCCCUGCCGGACCCACCCAGCUAAGCUACCCCCGAAUUCCUCACCCACAGGAGCUAUGUGAGAUAAUUUAUUACGUGAACCCUUUCCUGAAGGAAGAAAUGGAGAAUGGCCCAGAUGACUAAAUGACGGAACGAUCACGUAAUCCAAGGAUAGGACCCUGAACAAUAUGCCCAGUUAUAACCAGCAUGAACAGAGCUCUCCUCCUCAUCCUGCAACUCAAGAAGUCCAUGACAGACUCUCGCUGUGUCGCCCAGGCUGGAGCGCAG
This is a long non-coding RNA of Cercocebus atys (sooty mangabey), 790 nucleotides long. RefSeq lists it as uncharacterized. The record is from RefSeq and is a predicted model, not a curated record. The transcript is spliced from 5 exons. NCBI's taxonomy places the organism in Eukaryota, Metazoa, Chordata, Mammalia, Primates, Cercopithecidae.